Non-coding RNA from Oryza barthii, 208 nucleotides. NCBI's taxonomy places the organism in Eukaryota, Viridiplantae, Streptophyta, Magnoliopsida, Poales, Poaceae. The record is from Rfam.
AAUAAAUAUAGCUUUGCACUAUUCAUCUCCAACGUUUAACCGUUCGUUUUAUUUGAAAAAAAAAUAUGAUUACUAUUUUUAUUGCUAUUAGAUGAUAAAAUAUGAAUAGUACUUUAUGUGUGACUAAUUUUUUUAAAAAAAAUUAUAAAAUUUUUAAAUAAGAUGGACAGUCAAACGUUGAACACGAAUUUUCACAACUGCAUUUAUU